GAUGAACGCUGGCGGCGUGCCUAAUACAUGCAAGUCGAGCGAACGGACGAGAAGCUUGCUUCUCUGAUGUUAGCGGCGGACGGGUGAGUAACACGUGGAUAACCUACCUAUAAGACUGGGAUAACUUCGGGAAACCGGAGCUAAUACCGGAUAAUAUUUUGAACCGCAUGGUUCAAAAGUGAAAGACGGUCUUGCUGUCACUUAUAGAUGGAUCCGCGCUGCAUUAGCUAGUUGGUAAGGUAACGGCUUACCAAGGCAACGAUGCAUAGCCGACCUGAGAGGGUGAUCGGCCACACUGGAACUGAGACACGGUCCAGACUCCUACGGGAGGCAGCAGUAGGGAAUCUUCCGCAAUGGGCGAAAGCCUGACGGAGCAACGCCGCGUGAGUAAUGAAGGUCUUCGGAUCUUAAAACUCUGUUAUUAGGGAAGAACAUAUGUGUAAGUAACUGUGCACAUCUUGACGGUACCUAAUCAGAAAGCCACGGCUAACUACGUG
This 497-nucleotide ribosomal RNA is filed under the name uncultured bacterium. Its description in RNAcentral is "partial 16S ribosomal RNA". It matches the Rfam family "Bacterial small subunit ribosomal RNA", at positions 28 to 507 of the family's 1533-position model. The record is from RNAcentral.